UUGAACGCUGGCGGCAGGCCUAACACCUGCAAGUCGAGCGGAUGAAGGGAGCUUGCUCCUGGAUUCAGCGGCGGACGGGUGAGUAAUGCCUAGGAAUCUGCCUGGUAGUGGGGGAUAACGUCCGGAAACGGGCGCUAAUACCGCAUACGUCCUGAGGGAGAAAGUGGGGGAUCUUCGGACCUCACGCUAUCAGAUGAGCCUAGGUCGGAUUAGCUAGUUGGUGGGGUAAAGGCCUACCAAGGCGACGAUCCGUAACUGGUCUGAGAGGAUGAUCAGUCACACUGGAACUGAGACACGGUCCAGACUCCUACGGGAGGCAGCAGUGGGGAAUAUUGGACAAUGGGCGAAAGCCUGAUCCAGCCAUGCCGCGUGUGUGAAGAAGGUCUUCGGAUUGUAAAGCACUUUAAGUUGGGAGGAAGGGCAGUAAGUUAAUACCUUGCUGUUUUGACGUUACCAACAGAAUAUGCACCGGCUAACUUCGUG
Molecule: ribosomal RNA, 483 nt
Filed under: uncultured bacterium
Lineage: Bacteria
Description: partial 16S ribosomal RNA
Rfam family: Bacterial small subunit ribosomal RNA
Source: RNAcentral